This 725-nucleotide ribosomal RNA is filed under the name uncultured Basidiomycota. RNAcentral's name for it is "eukaryotic LSU rRNA". The stretch from base 318 to 471 matches the Rfam family "5.8S ribosomal RNA". Lineage: Eukaryota; Fungi; Basidiomycota. The record is from RNAcentral.
CUUGGUCAUUUAGAGGAAGUAAAAGUCGUAACAAGGUUUCCGUAGGUGAACCUGCGGAAGGAUCAUUAUCGAGUUUUGAAAAGUGGGGUUUGAUGCUGGCCUUUUCCGAAAGGCAUGUGCUUGCCUCUACUUAUCCACUCCAACACCUGUGCACAUUUGAGACAUUGUCCUCCCAAUGACUUGGGAGCAGCUCCCUUUCAGUCUCUUUCACCAGAAACAAAAAAGGUUGAGCCAGGACAGUGUCUCAUCUAUUUAAAACAAAAACCCUUCAAAGUUCAGUAGAAUGUUAAUACUGCCGAAAGGCAACAAUUUAAUACAACUUUCAACAACGGAUCUCUUGGCUCUUGCAUCGAUGAAGAACGCAGCGAAAUGCGAUAAGUAAUGUGAAUUGCAGAAUUCAGUGAAUCAUCGAAUCUUUGAACGCACCUUGCGCUCCUUGGUAUUCCGAGGAGCAUACCUGUUUGAGUGUCAUGAAAUUCUCAAUCUCCUGAGCUUUUUAAGUGAGGGACUGAUUGGAUUUGGGAGCUUGCUGGCUACCUGUUGGUCAGCUCUCCUUGAAUGCAUUAGCUUUGACCAAGGAAUGGCACAUGGGUGUGAUAAAACUAUCUGCACUCUGUUGACAAAAUGGUUAAGCUCAGAAUCUGUCGCCAGACAACCUUUUCAUCAUCUGACCUCAAAUCAGGUAGGACUACCCGCUGAACUUAAGCAUAUCAAUAAGCGGAGGA